This 460-nucleotide ribosomal RNA is filed under the name uncultured bacterium. RNAcentral describes it as "partial 16S ribosomal RNA". It matches the Rfam family "Bacterial small subunit ribosomal RNA", at positions 338 to 795 of the family's 1533-position model. The record is from RNAcentral.
CCUACGGGAGGCAGCAGUGAGGAAUAUUGGUCAAUGGGCGCGAGCCUGAACCAGCCAAGUAGCGUGAAGGAUGACUGCCCUAUGGGUUGUAAACUUCUUUUAUAAAGGAAUAAAGUGAGGCACGUGUGCCUUUUUGCAUGUACUUUAUGAAUAAGGAUCGGCUAACUCCGUGCCAGCAGCCGCGGUAAUACGGAGGAUCCGAGCGUUAUCCGGAUUUAUUGGGUUUAAAGGGAGCGUAGAUGGGUUGUUAAGUCAGUUGUGAAAGUUUGCGGCUCAACCGUAAUAUUGCAAUUGAUACUGGCAGCCUUGAGUACAGUUGAGGUAGGCGGAAUGCGUGGUGUAGCGGUGAAAUGCUUAGAUAUCACGAAGAACCCCGAUUGCGAAGGCAGCUUACUAAACUGUGACUGACAUUGAUGCUCGAAAGUGUGGGUAUCAAACAGGAUUAGAUACCCCAGUAGUC